AACAAAUUUUAAGGUAAGUCUUCUAAAUUUACUCUGGGAGUGUCCCCGUUUGUUU
RNAcentral lists this transfer RNA (55 nucleotides) under Ortleppascaris sinensis. RNAcentral's name for it is "tRNA-Ser". The record is from RNAcentral. Lineage: Eukaryota; Metazoa; Nematoda; Chromadorea; Rhabditida; Ascarididae.